GUAUCGAAAUGCAUGGUGGGAAAUCAGUGUGAAAUUCAUUGGCUGUUCCUGCAAAGGUUAAAGUCCUAGCGCCACCCGAUAUAGUCCGCUGUUGAAUGAAGGCCAGGAAAAGUCUAGUUCUGCAAUUUAAAU
RNAcentral lists this non-coding RNA (132 nucleotides) under unclassified sequences. The record is from RNAcentral.